This 1067-nucleotide ribosomal RNA is filed under the name Vibrio parahaemolyticus. Its description in RNAcentral is "bacterial LSU rRNA". It matches the Rfam family "Bacterial large subunit ribosomal RNA", at positions 984 to 2038 of the family's 2925-position model. The record is from RNAcentral. Lineage: Bacteria; Pseudomonadati; Pseudomonadota; Gammaproteobacteria; Vibrionales; Vibrionaceae.
ACACGGCGGGUGCUAACGUCCGUCGUGGAGAGGGAAACAACCCAGACCGCCAGCUAAGGUCCCAAAUUACUACUAAGUGGGAAACGAUGUGGGAAGGCUCAGACAGCCAGGAUGUUGGCUUAGAAGCAGCCAUCAUUUAAAGAAAGCGUAAUAGCUCACUGGUCGAGUCGGCCUGCGCGGAAGAUGUAACGGGGCUAAGUAGUAAACCGAAGCUGCGGCAAUGUGCUUUUGCACAUUGGGUAGGGGAGCGUUCUGUAAGCGGUUGAAGGUGUGUGGUAACGCAUGCUGGACGUAUCAGAAGUGCGAAUGCUGACAUGAGUAACGAUAAAGGGGGUGAAAAACCUCCUCGCCGGAAGACCAAGGGUUCCUGUCCAACGUUAAUCGGGGCAGGGUAAGUCGACCCCUAAGGCGAGGCCGAAAGGCGUAGUCGAUGGGAAACGGGUUAAUAUUCCCGUACUUCUUACAAUUGCGAUGGGGGGACGGAGAAGGCUAGGUGGGCCUGGCGACGGUUGUCCAGGUUCAAGUGCGUAGGCUUGAGAGUUAGGUAAAUCCGGCUCUCUUUAAGGCUGAGACACGACGUCGAGCACCUACGGGUGUGAAGUCAUUGAUGCCAUGCUUCCAGGAAAAGCCUCUAAGCUUCAGAUUGUAAGGAAUCGUACCCCAAACCGACACAGGUGGUCGGGUAGAGAAUACCAAGGCGCUUGAGAGAACUCGGGUGAAGGAACUAGGCAAAAUGGUACCGUAACUUCGGGAGAAGGUACGCUCUCGACGGUGAAGUCCCUUGCGGAUGGAGCUAUUGAGAGUCGCAGAUACCAGGUGGCUGCAACUGUUUAUUAAAAACACAGCACUGUGCAAAAUCGUAAGAUGACGUAUACGGUGUGACGCCUGCCCGGUGCCGGAAGGUUAAUUGAUGGGGUUAGACUUCGGUCGAAGCUCUUGAUCGAAGCCCCGGUAAACGGCGGCCGUAACUAUAACGGUCCUAAGGUAGCGAAAUUCCUUGUCGGGUAAGUUCCGACCUGCACGAAUGGCGUAAUGAUGGCCACGCUGUCUCCACCCGAGACUCAGUG